RNAcentral lists this ribosomal RNA (492 nucleotides) under uncultured bacterium. Its description in RNAcentral is "partial 16S ribosomal RNA". It matches the Rfam family "Bacterial small subunit ribosomal RNA", at positions 29 to 507 of the family's 1533-position model. The record is from RNAcentral.
AGUGAACGCUGGCGGCAUGCCUAACACAUGCAAGUCGAACGGCAGCACAGUAACUGCUUGCUCUUACGGGUGGCGAGUGGCGGACGUGUGACGUCUACACCGGACCCUUCUUUUGCGUGGGGGCUAACGUAGGGAAAUUUAUGCCAACUCCGCAUUCGACCUACGGGUGAAAGCAGGGGGUCUUUGGACCUUUCGGGAUUGAAUGAGCCUAUGUCGGAUUAGCUAGUUGGCGGGGCAAAGGCCCAGCAAGGCGACGAUCGGUAGCUGGUCCGAGAGGGUGAUCAGCCACACUGGGACUGAGACACGGCCCAGACUCCUACGGGAGGAAGCAGUGGGGAAUCUUGGACAAUGGGCGAAAGCCUGAUCCAGCAAUACCGCGUGUGUGAAGAAGGCCUUCGGGUUGUAAAGCCCUUUUGUUCGGAAAGAAAUACAGCGCGUUAAUACGGCGCGGUUAUGACGGUACCCGAAGAAUAAGCACCGGCUAACUACGUG